GUAAAGAUGCCAGAGGUUUGAAUGGAGUUGAUUUAGGAUUAAUUUAUGGGGAUUUACCCUUCUUUAUA
Molecule: transfer RNA, 68 nt
Filed under: Moniezia benedeni
Lineage: Eukaryota; Metazoa; Platyhelminthes; Cestoda; Cyclophyllidea; Anoplocephalidae
Description: tRNA-Leu
Source: RNAcentral